RNAcentral lists this ribosomal RNA (253 nucleotides) under uncultured bacterium. RNAcentral's name for it is "partial 16S ribosomal RNA". It matches the Rfam family "Bacterial small subunit ribosomal RNA", at positions 524 to 776 of the family's 1533-position model. The record is from RNAcentral.
GACGUAGGGGGCCAGCGUUGCUCGGAAUUACUGGGCGUAAAGGGUCCGUAGGCGGUGCGGUAAGUCGGGAGUGAAAUCUCUGGGCUUAACUCAGAGGCUGCUUCCGAAACUACCGUGCUAGAGUGCGAGAGAGGCAAGUGGAAUUGCGGGUGUAGCGGUGAAAUGCGUAGAUAUCCGCAGGAACAUCCGAGGCGAAAGCGGCUUGCUGGAUCGCAACUGACGCUGAGGGACGAAAGCGUGGGUAGCAAACAGG